Molecule: long non-coding RNA, 400 nt
Filed under: Trifolium pratense (red clover)
Lineage: Eukaryota; Viridiplantae; Streptophyta; Magnoliopsida; Fabales; Fabaceae
Description: long non-coding RNA (TPRA_LNC008862)
Source: RNAcentral
UUUGCAGCUGCACAUCAUUACUGAUACUGAACAACAUGGAGCAAUGUUUUACAGAGAAGACCACAGGAUUCAAAUCUCGUAAAGCCUAAACAGUCUUAAAUUGUUUUACUGGAUUUUCCAUCAUCUGUGAUAGAGUACUUGAUUUGUUCUAGUAAUCCUUAAUUGUAAUUGAUUUGUUUCCUGGAAAUAAUGAAGUCACUAUAGUUAAAUUUCAUCUUUGCUUAUUCAGUUUUUGUGUUCUGAAUUUCUUUUGCUAAGAUUAGUUGGAUAAAGAUAAACUAUCCAACAUUUUUAUUAUAUUAUUCUAGUGAUUGCAUUAUUUUUUAUUGCAGCAAAUCCAGGCUUGUAGUUUAUGAUGUAUCAAUACUAAUUUAAAACUAAAUAGUUAAACUAUUAAUUA